Long non-coding RNA from Delphinapterus leucas (beluga whale), 454 nucleotides. RefSeq lists it as uncharacterized. The record is from RefSeq and is a predicted model, not a curated record. Lineage: Eukaryota; Metazoa; Chordata; Mammalia; Artiodactyla; Monodontidae.
CCGUGGUUGGCUCACAAGUAAGAAAGUAAACAAAAAAAAGGUGUUUAAAGUGUGCAGCAGCUCUUUGCAUGAAGAAACCAUGAGAGAUUGGAAGCUCGUAAUUUGAGUUCGUUGGUGCAGAACUGCAGAAACACAGCUAAUCAUUUAUUAAGACCGCCUUGACGUUUCCCUCAGCUCAGUGAAAACAACUGGUUACCCAAAGUCCCACCUGAUGCCCUUGACACACAUCUCACUGGAGAGAGGACCUAGGAACCAUACCUUUGAAAUAUAAUCAUCAAGGAAGGUAGCACCCAUAUUUCCCAGUUUCUGUGAGAGCCCAACCAUGACCAAGUUGCAAAACUACCACCUGUCAUAGAGGUAUCGCAUGUGAGGAAGUUCAGCCUGAUCUACUCUCCUUGAGGAUAAAAGACACCUAGAGAGAGGCCCAGGGGAGUUUCUAAAGGAGCAUACAUUA